AAAUGAAUUGACGGGGGCCCGCACAAGCGGUGGAGCAUGUGGUUUAAUUCGACGCAACGCGAAGAACCUUACCAGGAUUUGACAUCCUCUGCUAUCGCAAGAGAUUGCGAAUUUAAUCUUCGGAUUAACAGAGAGACAGGUGGUGCAUGGUUGUCGUCAGCUCGUGUCGUGAGAUGUUGGGUUAAGUCCCGCAACGAGCGCAACCCUUAUUCUUAGUUGCCAGCACAUUAAGGUGGGCACUCUAAGGAGACUGCCGGUGACAAACCGGAGGAAGGUGGGGAUGACGUCAAAUCAUCAUGCCCUUUAUGUCCUGGGCUACACACGUGCUACAAUGGCCUGUACAGAGGGAUGCGAAGCCGUGAGGUGGAGCCAAUCCCCCAAAGCAGGUCUUAGUUCGGAUUGUAGGCUGCAACUCGCCUACAUGAAGCAGGAAUCGCUAGUAAUCGUGGAUCAGCAUGCCGCGGUGAAUACGUUCCCGGGCCUUGUACACACCGCCCGU
RNAcentral lists this ribosomal RNA (499 nucleotides) under uncultured bacterium. RNAcentral's name for it is "bacterial SSU rRNA". It matches the Rfam family "Bacterial small subunit ribosomal RNA", at positions 903 to 1397 of the family's 1533-position model. The record is from RNAcentral.